RNAcentral lists this ribosomal RNA (119 nucleotides) under Castor canadensis (American beaver). Lineage: Eukaryota; Metazoa; Chordata; Mammalia; Rodentia; Castoridae. The record is from RNAcentral.
GUCUAUGGCCCUACCACUCUGAACAUGCCCUAUCUCAUCUGGAUUUGGAAGCUAAGCAGGGUUGGGCCUAGUUAGUACAUGGAUGGAACACAGAUCUUGAGAAGAUACUGGUCAAGACA